GAAAGUUGGCCAAGGAUAUAGAACCACGACCAAAUGUUUCAUUUUAUCCAGAUGACACCAAAACAAAGCUCUUCGCUGAAGAUUUAGAACCACGACCAAAUGUCUCAUUUUAUCCCGAUGACGAAACCAAAACAAAGCUCUUCGCUGAAGAUGUAGAACCACGACCAAAUCUCUCAUUUUAUCCCGAUGACGAAACCAAAACAAAACUUUUUGCUGAAGAUGUAGAACCACGGCCAAAUGUCUCAUUUUAUCCCGAUGAUGACACUAAAACAAAGCUUUUUGUUGAAGAUGUAGAACCACGACCAAAUGUUUCAUUCUAUCCUGAUGACGAAACCAAAACAAAACUUUUUGCUGAAGAUGUAGAACCACGACCAAAUUCCUUCUUUUAUCCUGAUGAUGACAUUAAAACAAAGCUUUUGGUUCAAGAAAUAGAGCCUCGACCAAAUGUUUCAUUUUAUCCAGACGAUGACACCAAAACAAAGCUUCUUGCUGAAGAUAUUGAAC
RNAcentral lists this long non-coding RNA (504 nucleotides) under Cucumis sativus (cucumber). RNAcentral's name for it is "long non-coding RNA (CSAT_LNC002804)". The record is from RNAcentral. Lineage: Eukaryota; Viridiplantae; Streptophyta; Magnoliopsida; Cucurbitales; Cucurbitaceae.